Molecule: ribosomal RNA, 486 nt
Filed under: uncultured bacterium
Lineage: Bacteria
Description: partial 16S ribosomal RNA
Rfam family: Bacterial small subunit ribosomal RNA
Source: RNAcentral
AUUGAACGCUGGCGGCAUGCCUUACGCAUGCAAGUCGAACGGCAGCACGGGUGCUUGCACCUGGUGGCGAGUGGCGAACGGGUGAGUAAUACAUCGGAACAUGUCCUGUAGUGGGGGAUAGCCCGGCGAAAGCCGGAUUAAUACCGCAUACGAUCUACGGAUGAAAGCGGGGGACCUUCGGGCCUCGCGCUAUAGGGUUGGCCGAUAGCUGAUUAGCUAGUUGGUGGGGUAAAGGCCUACCAAGGCGACGAUCAGUAGCUGGUCUGAGAGGACGACCAGCCACACAGGGACUGAGACACGGCCCAGACUCCUACGGGAGGCAGCAGUGGGGAAUUUUGGACAAUGGGCGAAAGCCUGAUCCAGCAAUGCCGCGUGUGUGAAGAAGGCCUUCGGGUUGUAAAGCACUUUUGUCCGGAAAGAAAUCCUUGGCUCUAAUACAGUCGGGGGAUGACGGUACCGGAAGAAUAAGCACCGGCUAACUACGUG